GACGAACGCUGGCGGCGUGCUUAACACAUGCAAGUCAAGGGGAAAGUUUCUUUCGGGGAACGAGUAUACUGGCGGACGGGUGAGUAACGCGUAGGUAACCUGCCCUCGGGAUCGGGAUAACACUGCUAACGCGGUGCUAAUACCGGAUGAUACGUUUAAGCUGCAUAGUUUUGACGUGAAAGCGGGCUUCGGCUCGUGCUUGAGGAUGGACCUGCGUCCCAUUAGCUAGUUGGCGGGGUAACGGCCCACCAAGGCUGCGAUGGGUAGCCGACCUGAGAGGGUGAACGGCCACACUGGGACUGAGAUACGGCCCAGACUCCUACGGGAGGCAG
This 332-nucleotide ribosomal RNA is filed under the name uncultured Deferribacteres bacterium. RNAcentral describes it as "bacterial SSU rRNA". It matches the Rfam family "Bacterial small subunit ribosomal RNA", at positions 28 to 351 of the family's 1533-position model. The record is from RNAcentral. Lineage: Bacteria; Pseudomonadati; Deferribacterota; Deferribacteres.